RNAcentral lists this long non-coding RNA (875 nucleotides) under Rattus norvegicus (Norway rat). RNAcentral's name for it is "long non-coding RNA NONRATT014694". Lineage: Eukaryota; Metazoa; Chordata; Mammalia; Rodentia; Muridae. The record is from RNAcentral.
UAAGACAGGCAUGGUGACUCACAAUAGUGCUAUCAGAACUGUCUUUUUUCCUUUUGUCAUAUUAUGGCCUUGCAAGCAUUAGUUUAAUAUUUGAGUUGUUGUUGAUUAAUAUGACGAUGCAGCAGUACAAUGAUCAGAGCCAGUCUACCACACAGACAAGUAUUUGUUGACCGACUAUGAAGCCCUGUCACAUCAAAUUCAUACCUUUACUUCCAGCACAUGGGAAGUCAGGACUUUGAGGGAUAGAGUUAUAGCUGAGGGCCAAAAGUUGUGUUUAAGACAGUAGGCUUUAACCCCUAUCCCAGGAGAAACAGAGAGCUAAAAAUGAAGAAUGGGAGCCCAGAAAAGACUUUAUAGUUGUGUAGACUUCAAUACUUGGUUUCACUGUAGACCUUAGUUUCCUUCCACUUUUAGAAAGGGGUUUAAAUUCAGCCAUGUGUUUAUGGGUCUGUGCUCACAUGAGUACAGGUCUUUGUGGAAGCCAGAGGUAUCGUCUUCCCUGGAGCAGGAGCUGUAGGCAAUGGGAGCCUCUGACAUGGGCAUUGGGAACCAAACUCAGCAAGAGCAAUAAUACAGACUGUGUACUGCUGAGCCCUCCCUCCGUCACCGGUGGUUAUCUUAGCAGACAGGUAGGAUGGGUGUAUGGUAGGGAGAUAGGGAGGUAAGAAUACCCACCAGAAAGACAAUCAAGUGAGGCCCAAUGCUGGUGGUAAAAGUGCUUGUCGGUGCAAGCAUGGCGGUCUGAGUUCAAUCCCCAGAACCCAGAAAACUGUCCUGUGUCUUUCACAGAUGCACCAUGGUACAGCUAUACCUCCCUACACACAGGUAAUAAGUUAAAUUUAGGGGGGAGGGGGCGGCAAAAAAAAAAAGUUAAA